GACGGACGCUGGCGGCGUGCUUAACACAUGCAAGUCGAACGGAAAGGCCCUGCUUUUGUGGGGUGCUCGAGUGGCGAACGGGUGAGUAACACGUGAGUAACCUGCCCUUGACUUUGGGAUAACUUCAGGAAACUGGGGCUAAUACCGGAUAGGAGCUCCUGCUGCAUGGUGGGGGUUGGAAAGUUUCGGCGGUUGGGGAUGGACUCGCGGCUUAUCAGCUUGUUGGUGGGGUAGUGGCUUACCAAGGCUUUGACGGGUAGCCGGCCUGAGAGGGUGACCGGCCACAUUGGGACUGAGCUACGGCCCAGACUCCUACGGGAGGCAGCAGUGGGGAAUAUUGCACAAUGGGCGGAAGCCUGAUGCAGCAACGCCGCGUGCGGGAUGACGGCCUUCGGGUUGUAAACCGCUUUCGCCUGUGACGAAGCGUGAGUGACGGUAAUGGGUAAAGAAGCACCGGCUAACUACGUG
RNAcentral lists this ribosomal RNA (468 nucleotides) under uncultured bacterium. RNAcentral describes it as "partial 16S ribosomal RNA". It matches the Rfam family "Bacterial small subunit ribosomal RNA", at positions 28 to 507 of the family's 1533-position model. The record is from RNAcentral.